GGGGCCGUAGGGUAGCCUGGUUAUCCUCCCAGCUUGGGGGUGCUGGAGACCCGAGUUCAAAUCUCGGCGGCCCCA
RNAcentral lists this transfer RNA (75 nucleotides) under Archaeoglobus sulfaticallidus PM70-1. RNAcentral describes it as "tRNA-Pro". It matches the Rfam family "tRNA". From Rfam's summary of the family: Transfer RNA (tRNA) molecules are approximately 80 nucleotides in length. Their secondary structure includes four short double-helical elements and three loops (D, anti-codon, and T loops). The record is from RNAcentral. Lineage: Archaea; Methanobacteriati; Methanobacteriota; Archaeoglobi; Archaeoglobales; Archaeoglobaceae.